RNAcentral lists this ribosomal RNA (305 nucleotides) under uncultured bacterium. RNAcentral's name for it is "bacterial SSU rRNA". It matches the Rfam family "Bacterial small subunit ribosomal RNA", at positions 337 to 639 of the family's 1533-position model. The record is from RNAcentral.
GCCUACGGGGGGCAGCAGUGAGGAAUAUUGGUCAAUGGGCUUACGCCUGAACCAGCCAAGUCGCGUGAGGGAAGACUGCCCUAUGGGUUGUAAACCUCUUUUGUCAGGGAGCAACGCCGGCUACGUGUAGCCGGACUGAGAGUACCUGAAGAAAAAGCAUCGGCUAACUCCGUGCCAGCAGCCGCGGUAAUACGGAGGAUGCGAGCGUUAUCCGGAUUUAUUGGGUUUAAAGGGUGCGUAGGCGGAAUGCCAAGUCAGCGGUAAAAUCGCGGGGCUCAACCUCGCUCGGCCGUUGAAACUGGCGU